Pelobates cultripes (western spadefoot toad) is the source of this 375-nucleotide non-coding RNA. Lineage: Eukaryota; Metazoa; Chordata; Amphibia; Anura; Pelobatidae. The record is from the annotation of a GenBank genome assembly.
UUCUGCCAGUGGCUCAAGACUACAGGCGUGAACUAGGUGCUGGGAUAUCCCUUACCGGCAAAGGGGGGACCGGAGCUUUAAUCACCACCACUGGUUCCAGCAGAGAUGCCAGCCGCCACUCCUGCGCUCGCUCUCUCUGGUAGGCCGCAAGAAUCCUGUCGAGCUCAGGCUAGAGUUCUUGCCUCCGGGGGCUUCUAGCUUAGCAAGAUGUUGUCAUCAGUGUAAGCAAUGCUGUUUACUACAGUAUAGUCGGUAGAAUAGGACAAUUCUGAGUUCUCUCACGGAGCUCGUCUGAACUGCGAUCUAUCAGUAUGGCGGUCAGGCCCCGCCUCCCCCCCACCCCCUGCAGAUAGAUAUUCACCACCAAUACUUAAC